AACGCACAUUGCACUCCUUGGUAUUCCGAGGAGUAUGCCUGUUUCAGUAUCAUGAGCACUCUCACACCUAACCUUUGGGUUAUGUCGUGGAAUUGGGAUGCGCCGAUUUUUACUAGUCGGCACUCCUAAAAUGUAGCUCUUGGCUGUUUCCUAUUACAGCAGUUUGGCCUAAUAGUUUUGACUUUUGUCAAAUCUUUGGCUACAUUUGCUUCUGGAAAUCAGUCUUGAUAAUACAGAAAACUCAUUUCAAACUUUGAUCUGAAAUCAGGUAGGGCUACCCGCUGAACUUAA
Molecule: unclassified non-coding RNA, 291 nt
Filed under: uncultured Umbelopsis
Lineage: Eukaryota; Fungi; Mucoromycota; Umbelopsidomycetes; Umbelopsidales; Umbelopsidaceae
Description: sequence contains ITS2
Source: RNAcentral